Non-coding RNA from Delphinapterus leucas (beluga whale), 174 nucleotides. Lineage: Eukaryota; Metazoa; Chordata; Mammalia; Artiodactyla; Monodontidae. The record is from RefSeq and is a predicted model, not a curated record.
CUGCGCCACCAGGGAAGCCCGGAAUGAUUUAAUUUUAAAUGUGCUGCAGUUUGCUGGAGAUCCUUCACGAACAGCUUCCUGAGUGCCAAGAGCAAGUGCUAGGUUAACAGAGUUCACAACAUGGGGGUGGGGAGUUGGAGGUAAAUCCCAGAAAUAAAAUUCAUUCAUCACUUA